Molecule: ribosomal RNA, 155 nt
Filed under: uncultured Saccharomyces
Lineage: Eukaryota; Fungi; Ascomycota; Saccharomycetes; Saccharomycetales; Saccharomycetaceae
Description: partial 26S ribosomal RNA
Source: RNAcentral
UCUGGCACCUUCGGGUGCCCGAGUUGUAAUUUGGAGAGGACGCCUUUGGGGCUGUCCCUGGCCUAUGGUCCUGGAAACGGGACUUCAUGAAGGGGGAAAAUCCCGCGGGGAUGGGGUGUCCGUUCCUUGGUGAGGGUCCUCCAACAAUCCAAUUG